UUGAACGCUGGCGGCAGGCCUAACCCCUGCCAGUCGCACGGUAGCACAGAGAGCUUGCUCUCGGGUGACGAGUGGCGGACGGGUGAGUAAUGUCUGGGAAACUGCCCGAUGGAGGGGGAUAACUACUGGAAACGGUAGCUAAUACCGCAUAAUGUCGCAAGACCAAAGAGGGGGACUUUCGGGCCUCUUGCCAUCGGAUGUGCCCAGAUGGGAUUAGCUAGUUGGUGAGGUAAUGGCUCACCAAGGCGACGAUCCCUAGCUGGUCUGAGAGGAUGACCAGCCACACUGGAACUGAGACACGGUCCAGACUCCUACGGGAGGCAGCAGUGGGGAAUAUUGCACAAUGGGCGCAAGCCUGAUGCAGCCAUGCCGCGUGUAUGAAGAAGGCCUUCGGGUUGUAAAGUACUUUCAGCGGGGAGGAAGGCAAUGCGGUUAAUAACCGUGUUGAUUGACGUUACCCGCAGAAGAAGCACCGGCUAACUCCGUG
RNAcentral lists this ribosomal RNA (487 nucleotides) under uncultured bacterium. Its description in RNAcentral is "partial 16S ribosomal RNA". It matches the Rfam family "Bacterial small subunit ribosomal RNA", at positions 30 to 507 of the family's 1533-position model. The record is from RNAcentral.